AGAGUUUGAUCCUGGCUCAGGACAAACGCUGGCGGCGUGCCUAACACAUGCAAGUCAAGGAGAACGUCCCCUUCGGGGGACUAUUAAACUGGCGGACGGGUGAGUAACGCGUAGGUAACCUGCCCCAGAGACCGGGACAACCCAUCGAAAGACGGGCUAAUACCGGAUGAUGCAGCGGAUCCUCAGGGAUAUGUUGUUAAAGGGGGCCUUCGGGUCCUGCUUUGGGAUGGGCCUGCGUCCGAUUAGUUAGUUGGUAAGAUAAAAGCUUACCAAGGCGAUGAUCGGUAGCUGGUCUGAGAGGAUGAUCAGCCACACUGGGAUUGAGAUACGGCCCAGACUCCUACGGGAGGCAGCAGUGGGGAAUCUUGCGCAAUGGGCGAAAGCCUGACGCAGCAACGCCGCGUGACUGAUGAAGCUUCUAGGAGUGUAAAGGUCUGUCGUGAGGGAAGAACAGUAUCCAUGUAAAUAGCAUGGGCAUUUGACGGUACCUCACAAGAAAGCACCGGCUAACUUCGUGCCAGCAGCCGCGGUAAUACGAGGGGUGCUAGCGUUGUCCGGAAUCACUGGGCGUAAAGGGCGCGUAGGCGUCUUAGCAAGCCUUGAUUGAAAUCCCCCGGCUCAACCGGGGAACUGGUCAGGGAACUGCUAGGAUAGAGUUUGGUAGGGGAGAGCGGAAUUCCUGGUGUAGCGGUGAUAUGCGUAGAUAUCAGGAGGAACACCUAAAGCGAAAGGCAGCUCUCUGGGCCAAUACUGACGCUGAGGCGCGAAAGCGGUGGGGAGCAAACAGGAUUAGAUACCCUGGUAGUCCACGCCGUAAAACG
This 821-nucleotide ribosomal RNA is filed under the name metagenome. Its description in RNAcentral is "bacterial SSU rRNA". It matches the Rfam family "Bacterial small subunit ribosomal RNA", at positions 8 to 809 of the family's 1533-position model. The record is from RNAcentral.